CCAAACUUGGUCAUUUAGAGGAAGUAAAAGUCGUAACAAGGUCUCCGUAGGUGAACCUGCGGAGGGAUCAUUAACGAACGGUCGUCAGACCUUCAAACCCUUCAGACCAUGUGGAAACAUAUUGUGCUUCGGCGCUAUGGCGCCGCUUUUAUGCAGAAACAAAGCCUGUGUCUGAGCUGAAAGCGGAAGCAAAAAACUUUCAACAAAGGAUCUCUUGGCUCUCUAGAGGAAGUAAAAGUCGUAACAAGGUCUCCGUAGGUGAACCUGCGGAGGGAUCAUUAACGAACGGUCGUCAGACCUUCAAACCCUUCAGACCAUGUGGAAACAUAUUGUGCUUCGGCGCUAUGGCGCCGCUUUUAUGCAGAAACAAAGCCUGUGUCUGAGCUGAAAGCGGAAGCAAAAAACUUUCAACAAAGGAUCUCUUGGCUCUCGCAUCGAUGAAGAACGCAGC
Molecule: unclassified non-coding RNA, 451 nt
Filed under: uncultured fungus
Lineage: Eukaryota; Fungi
Description: partial contains small subunit ribosomal RNA, internal transcribed spacer 1, and 5.8S ribosomal RNA
Rfam family: Eukaryotic small subunit ribosomal RNA (bases 1-73)
Source: RNAcentral